UCAACAGUCGGGUUGUUUUGAAUGUUUGUGUUGCUGAAGUGGCUUAAAUUCUGGUUCCAACGAGUUAAAGAAUCGUCAAUAUCAGAGUAUUUAGGUGGCUGGAGCGACUGCUAGAGUGAAGGGAGGGGAUCAAGCAAGUGCUCUAGUUUGACAAGGUUUGAAAUUAACAAAAGAUAAAAGAAAAAACAUUGAAGCUUGUGUGUGUGAGUAGGGAAGGUGAUCAAGUUUAUGAUUGUUUUAGAUUAGGUUUUAUGAUUAGGAUUAAAGUUUGUUAGCAUUUGGUAGGGUUUUAAGGUUUGGUAAUAUUUGUUAGAAGCAAGAUUUAGGAUUGUUGUUUUAAACAUUUUUAGUCAUUUUUUAGGGUUUGGAUUUAUAUUUAAUUUAUUGAUGUAUGAAUAGUUGUUUGAAUUUUCUCAAGAUUUGUGAAGGUGAUGAAUUUUCCAUCUUAAGGUUGUUCAAUUUAGAGUAAGUGGAUAGAGGA
Molecule: long non-coding RNA, 481 nt
Filed under: Physcomitrium patens
Lineage: Eukaryota; Viridiplantae; Streptophyta; Bryopsida; Funariales; Funariaceae
Description: long non-coding RNA (PPAT_LNC012454)
Source: RNAcentral